AGCGGCGGACGGGUGAGUAACGCGUGGGUAACCUGCCCUGUACACACGGAUAACAUACCGAAAGGUAUGCUAAUACGAGAUAAUAUGCUUUUAUCGCAUGGUAGAAGUAUCAAAGCUUUUGCGGUACAGGAUGGACCCGCGUCUGAUUAGCUAGUUGGUAAGGUAACGGCUUACCAAGGCGACGAUCAGUAGCCGACCUGAGAGGGUGAUCGGCCACAUUGGAACUGAGACACGGUCCAAACUCCUACGGGAGGCAGCAGUGGGGAAUAUUGCACAAUGGGCGAAAGCCUGAUGCAGCAACGCCGCGUGAGCGAUGAAGGCCUUCGGGUCGUAAAGCACUGUCCUCAAGGAAGAUAAUGACGGUACUUGAGGAGGAAGCCCCGGCUAACUACGUGCCAGCAGCCGCGGUAAUACGUAGGGGGCUAGCGUUAUCCGGAAUUACUGGGCGUAAAGGGUGCGUAGGUGGUUUCUUAAGUCAGAGGUGAAAGGCUACGGCUCAACCGUAGUAAGCCUUUGAAACUGGGAAACUUGAGUGCAGGAGAGGAGAGUGGAAUUCCUAGUGUAGCGGUGAAAUGCGUAGAUAUUAGGAGGAACACCAGUUGCGAAGGCGGCUCUCUGGACUGUAACUGACACUGAGGCACGAAAGCGUGGGGAGCAAACAGGAUUAGAUACCCUGGGUAGUCCACGCCGUAAACGAUGAGUACUAGCUGU
Molecule: ribosomal RNA, 711 nt
Filed under: uncultured bacterium
Lineage: Bacteria
Description: bacterial SSU rRNA
Rfam family: Bacterial small subunit ribosomal RNA
Source: RNAcentral